This 207-nucleotide ribosomal RNA is filed under the name uncultured bacterium. RNAcentral's name for it is "partial 16S ribosomal RNA". It matches the Rfam family "Bacterial small subunit ribosomal RNA", at positions 568 to 774 of the family's 1533-position model. The record is from RNAcentral.
CGUGCAGGCGGGUUGGUAAGUCAGAUGUGAAAGCCCUGGGCUCAACCCAGGAAGUGCAUUUGAAACUGCCAUCCUUGAGUAUGGGAGAGGAGAGUGGAAUUCCCAAUGUAGAGGUGAAAUUCGUAGAUAUUGGGAGGAACACCCGUGGCGAAGGCGACUCUCUGGACCAAUACUGACGCUGAGACGCGAAAGCGUGGGGAGCAAACG